This 19-nucleotide small nuclear RNA is filed under the name Arabidopsis thaliana (thale cress). RNAcentral's name for it is "snRNA_17001". The record is from RNAcentral. Lineage: Eukaryota; Viridiplantae; Streptophyta; Magnoliopsida; Brassicales; Brassicaceae.
AAAGCUCGUUUGAUUCUGA